RNAcentral lists this ribosomal RNA (440 nucleotides) under uncultured bacterium. RNAcentral describes it as "bacterial SSU rRNA". It matches the Rfam family "Bacterial small subunit ribosomal RNA", at positions 8 to 450 of the family's 1533-position model. The record is from RNAcentral.
AGAGUUUGAUCCUGGCUCAGAUUGAACGCUGGCGGCAUGCCUUACACAUGCAAGUCGAACGGUAACAGGGAGCUUGCUCCGCUGACGAGUGGCGAACGGGUGAGUAAUAUAUCGGAACGUACCUUUGAGUGGGGGAUAACUAGUCGAAAGAUUAGCUAAUACCGCGUACGAUCUACGGAUGAAAGUGGGGGAUCGCAAGACCUCAUGCUCAUAGAGCGGCCGAUAUCUGAUUAGCUAGUUGGUGAGGUAAAGGCUCACCAAGGCUUCGAUCAGUAGCUGGUCUGAGAGGACGACCAGCCACACUGGGACUGAGACACGGCCCAGACUCCUACGGGAGGCAGCAGUGGGGAAUUUUGGACAAUGGGGGCAACCCUGAUCCAGCAAUGCCGCGUGAGUGAAGAAGGCCUUCGGGUUGUAAAGCUCUUUUGUCAGGGAAGAAA